AACACUAAAUCACCUAUGUGAAUUAAGUUGAUACCUUAAAAGAAAAAUUUUUAUAUUUUUAGUGUUA
This 67-nucleotide transfer RNA is filed under the name unidentified. RNAcentral describes it as "Discoporella cookae tRNA-Ile". The record is from RNAcentral.